RNAcentral lists this ribosomal RNA (46 nucleotides) under Aedes aegypti (yellow fever mosquito). Its description in RNAcentral is "partial 5.8S ribosomal RNA". The record is from RNAcentral. Lineage: Eukaryota; Metazoa; Arthropoda; Insecta; Diptera; Culicidae.
GUACGAUGUACACAUUUUUGAGUGCCUAUAUUUAUCUAUUCAACUA